This 494-nucleotide ribosomal RNA is filed under the name uncultured bacterium. Its description in RNAcentral is "partial 16S ribosomal RNA". It matches the Rfam family "Bacterial small subunit ribosomal RNA", at positions 30 to 507 of the family's 1533-position model. The record is from RNAcentral.
AUUGAACGCUGGCGGCAUGCUUUACACAUGCAAGUCGAACGGCAGCGGGGAGGAGCUUGCUUCUCUGCCGGCGAGUGGCGAACGGGUGAGUAAUACAUCGGAACGUGUCGAGAAGAGGGGGAUAACCACCCGAAAGGGUGGCUAAUACCGCAUAAAUUCUGAGGAAGAAAGCUGGGGACCUAGGAAUAGGCCAAGCGCUUUUUGAGCGGCCGAUGUCGGAUUAGCUAGUUGGUGAGGUAAAGGCUCACCAAGGCGAAGAUCUGUAGCGGGUCUGAGAGGAUGAUCCGCCACACUGGGACUGAGACACGGCCCAGACUCCUACGGGAGGCAGCAGUGGGGAAUUUUGGACAAUGGGGGCAACCCUGAUCCAGCCAUGCCGCGUGUAUGAAGAAGGCCUUAGGGUUGUAAAGUACUUUUGUUAGGGAAGAAAAGUCAGCUGUGAAUAAUGGCUGAUACUGACGGUACCUAAAGAAUAAGCACCGGCUAACUACGUG